This is a non-coding RNA of Pelobates cultripes (western spadefoot toad), 689 nucleotides long. NCBI's taxonomy places the organism in Eukaryota, Metazoa, Chordata, Amphibia, Anura, Pelobatidae. The record is from the annotation of a GenBank genome assembly.
CGCAGUACAUCCAGCCCCGGAACCAGCUUUUCCUGAACCGUUUGUCAUCAUGCCCGACCGAUUUGAUGGUAGCCGCACAUCCUUUCAGUCUUUCAAGAUGGAUUGUGAGGUGUUGUUUUCCUUAAAGCCUCGAACUUAUGCCACAGAAUUCAUCAGGGUCAGAGCGGCUAUCAACCUGUUGUCUGGACGCAUCAAAGUUUGGGCUCACCAAAUGUUGCAGACGAAGAGUCCUGUCCUGGUCAGCUGGGAAUCCUUUAGUACUGCUAUGGACUCACAAUGUAAGACCACUGUGGCCAAGUCAGCUCCGCGUACUAAAAAAUCUCAGACUCUUCCUAACCUAGAAACCGAGUACCACCACUACGUCCCAGAAAUGCCUCCUUAUGUUCCAGCUCCCAGGAAAACUCCAGAGGUAUCCGGUGUUCCACUUGACCCUGUGGAACCUAUGCAAUUAGGACUCGUCCACUGCAAGGUGACACCUAAGGAAAAAGGCCGAAGGAGAAGCUAUGGCCUAUGUUAUUACUGUGGAGAAAAAGGGCACUUCAUCACGCUUUGUCCUGUUCGCCCUCCUAGACCUCCAGCUCUCCGACUUGGUACUAGUUUCCUUCGCCCUGUGUACACCACAUACCAGCCUAAAAAGCCAAAUAGAAGCCGUUGUGCUUGCACAUGCUUGGCUUCCGCGAGAAAACCUC